This is a long non-coding RNA of Gadus chalcogrammus (walleye pollock), 2244 nucleotides long. RefSeq lists it as uncharacterized. The transcript has 3 exons. The record is from RefSeq and is a predicted model, not a curated record. Lineage: Eukaryota; Metazoa; Chordata; Actinopteri; Gadiformes; Gadidae.
GACGCGGAGAUAGAGGCUCACGGAGACCCUAUAGGACUGAAUGAUUGUGUUCCAUGUGAACCAUAAUUGCCUGUUGCAAUAAACGACGCAAACGGCUUUAAACCCUGAUCCCCGUGUGAUUCGUCCCUGGAACCCGACCCUCCAAGGACCGGUUUCACAGGUUAAAGACUUUUUGAAGUAAAGAGGAGCAUCUCAACUGAACCAGAUGUCUAUCAUGGAUAUUUAACUGCAGUUCUGUGAGUAUCCCAACUUCACCAUGAAGCAUAACUGCAAACUGUAAGUCAUUAAUUUCUCAUUACUCUUGGGCACAUUGGCUUCCUGGUGUGUUAACCUGUUACCUGAAGGUUGAUCUGCAUAGUAAGGAUGUUUUAUUGGUUCAUGGGUUACUUUGGAUCUUUGUUUAUGUUGGUUUUAAUGAUUUGUUAAAAUGGUUACAGGCUCCAAGUUAUUGUUGUAAGCUGGAGUAAUAAUAAUAAUAAUACAUUUUAUUUAUAAUGCACUUUAUAUUUAUAAACCCAUUACUCCUUUACGGAGUAAUGGGUUGGGUUCUGAUAUCUUCAGUCUUCUUUCAUUCUACUCUCCUGAGCUCUGCAUCUUCAUCACAUGAGUGUUGCUUUACUAAUGAAUGUGUGGUCUGAUUGAGCAGAGUUGCAUACUGGGAUACAGAGCUGUCUGAAGUCUACAGGUCUGUAGACACGCCCCCUCAGGGGAAACCGAGUGUUUGAGAAACCGUUGUGACGUCAGUUACAUGGACUGGAAACUUCUUAAAGAUGGAGACAGGGAUUCAGAAGGAGAAACACCAGGGGGAGAUGAGGGUGCUCCUCAUCUCAACAACUAAAACACAACUUCAGUCUGACACGGAGAACCAUGGAACACAUUGAACAGUCCCCUCCAUGCAUCGUGACUCCUCAGGAACAUUUUCAUUUCCAAGAAGAUCUUAUUUGGGGCCAUCCCCAUAUGGAUCCUGCUCCUCAAGAGCCAACCCCCUCCACUGGGUGGUCUUCUGAACAGAUGACCUCCUUCCUGUCCUCAGGCUGACUAAAGCUGCACCGUUUGCAUCUGUGAAGGCCCCUCAUUCAGGAAACCACUGGACUACAAAGACAUGACUUCAGAGAUGUUGAAUCAACCUGGGACACACUUUGGAGACGCCAAGCAUAAUCCAACACCAAUGUGGGACGCCACUGAAGAAUGUUGUACAUAAUUCACGUCUCUGGAGACAUUGGUUGUUCUGUUAUGGGUGCCCUGGCAGGAGAGCUGGGGGGGGGAAUGAUGGAAUGUUAUUUGGCAUUUGGUUUUUACCCUGCAUGAAUGUUUGGCCUUCUAUGGCUCAGUGGUUUGUGUGUUUGAGUUUGACAUGAGAUGGAUGAUUUUUGUGCAUCGUUAGGGUUCUACUGUGUGUGUGUGUGUGUGUGUGUGUGUGUGCGUGUCUCCCACUCACACCUGGCAUGGGGUUCUACGUGCCUGUCCUGGGUUCUAUGUGUGUGUGUCCGGCUUGCUUUGACAAUGAUGAUGUUCAUACGGGGGUCUGUGUGAUUGGCUUGGGAUAUUGGAAUGGUCAACUAAAUCAUACCUGAUGGACGGCCACACGUUUACUUAAGGGCCUCCAGUGGACAUGAAGAGCCCUGAGCGACGCUCCGGAACGAGAUCCAACACACUGGGCAGGAAGGAGAGUAUCCAACUCAAGUGUAAAAGGAUGCAAGCGGCGUGUUCAGAUCAGUGACUUCAAACUAGGACUACACCAAUCAGGAUCAAUGGAGGAUGGACACCAAAAGGAAUUGCACAAGGAGAGUCUGACGUGGGAAAGGGACCUAAAUGGAUAUUCAAGAUGAACUUCAGACCUGUAAUGAGACGGCUCUUCCUACCUGGCUGGAUUGAUGGAGAGCCCUGUGGAUCUUGUCUUGCUCUCAGUUGCACGUCUUCUCAGGCUGAACUGUAUUUGUUUCGGACAGGACUAGCUGAACGAUUGGUUCCCUUAAAUCAGAAUCAAUCCGGGAACUCCAGCUAGUGCGCUCUUCGAGCUGAAGUUGUGCUCUUCAGCUGAGGAGGUAAGGAAACCUUCACUGGGGCUUCAAAGUGUAAAGAGGAGAAUGUUUCAAAGUGUUCCAUGGUACUCUGAUGAAGACCGUUGUUGUGUUCCACUGGCUGAGAGGAAGAACCCACACAUCUUCCUCUGGGCUUUCUCCUCUGAGAAUCCUGGCGCCAUCUUGAAGGAUAUUCCAGCUCAUGCAACUGAUGUCAUGACAG